UAGGGAAUCUACCGCAAUGGGCGAAAGCCUGACGGAGCAACGCCGCGUGAGUGAUGAAGGUCUUCGGAUCGUAAAACUCUGUUAUCAGGGAAGAACAAAUGUGUAAGUAACUGUGCACAUCUUGACGGUACCUGAUCAGAAAGCCACGGCUAACUACGUG
Molecule: ribosomal RNA, 160 nt
Filed under: uncultured Staphylococcus sp.
Lineage: Bacteria; Bacillati; Bacillota; Bacilli; Caryophanales; Staphylococcaceae
Description: partial 16S ribosomal RNA
Rfam family: Bacterial small subunit ribosomal RNA
Source: RNAcentral